AUCGUGUAUACCUGAAUCUGAACUGUUCUGUACCAUUGAAUAUGUGUAUGCUUUCAAUGGUAAUACUCUUUUUCAUUUUAAUUACAAAAUACUUCAUAUAGAACAGAAGAAAGUAAAAAUGUAUCAUAAAAUAAAUAUGGAUGAUAACACUUAUAAUUAUUAAUUUACAUUGAGAAGGUAAUGCUAUCAGUUGUCUUUUCCAAAAGUGUGUUGGCUUUUAUCACCUUAUUAUUUAUUUAUGGAUCACUUUCUUUUCAUUUCUAAGAAAAUACUAUACUGGAUUUUCUACUGAACAUAAAGAAACCAGAAGUACUUUCCACAUUUCUAGUAAUCAGUGUUGACUACAAUAUGAAUAAAUAUAGAGACAGAUUUAAAAUUAGUUACAAGAAUGGGAGCCUCGAGGGGGUAGUUUCAAUAAUCUCUAUCAACAGAGGUAAAACUAUGCAGAGGAAAAGUGGAAGGGAAGGUAAAGAUAGACUAAGAGUGAUAACAGAGACAAUUAUAAAAACUGAAUAUCUACUCACCUCUGUGAGUCCACAUGAGAAAUCAUGUGGUCCAAAAGUAAAUGUGAGUAAAAUUUUAGCCUUUUAAAAAUGAAUUAGGAAUAUAUUCUACUUAAGAACUGGAAGAAAUUGCCAUAAAACAUUUAGUUAUG
RNAcentral lists this long non-coding RNA (655 nucleotides) under Callithrix jacchus (white-tufted-ear marmoset). RNAcentral describes it as "lncRNA (ENSCJAG00000074688.1)". Lineage: Eukaryota; Metazoa; Chordata; Mammalia; Primates; Cebidae. The record is from RNAcentral.